AACAAAAAGCUUGCUGUAGAAGUUUCUGGAAUAAUACAAGAAAAACGUGAACUACUUGACAAACAUAGCUUUGCGGAUAAAGAGAAUGAGAAUUUAGAGCCAUCUUUGAAACAUUCCAGCGUUGAGGAGUCCAAUAAAGCACAAGCUUUGAAGGAAACACAUGAAAAGCUGGAGAGUUGCAAAUUCAACGAACAGGAUGACGUUUUCUUUUUAGAAAAACAAUUAGAAAAAGAGAAAUCUGAACAUUUUGAACAAAAUGCAUUG
Molecule: long non-coding RNA, 264 nt
Organism: Ochotona princeps (American pika)
Lineage: Eukaryota; Metazoa; Chordata; Mammalia; Lagomorpha; Ochotonidae
Exons: 3
Source: RefSeq, a predicted model, not a curated record